CCUUAUUUAUUUAUUUUUAAAUAAUGGCCUAGAUAAAAAGAAGCUUGUUCGCGUCUUAUACUAGAGAUGUUAAAACAGCUGGGUAAGAGGCGACUUCAGGGACGACGUGGAAGGGAAUUGUUCUAGGCAGGGAGAUCACGUGCCCUAGCUUCAACAUUGUCGUCUGGAGGUAGUGUCAUUGAGAAGCCCGGAUGUAACGGGUCUUCCCGCGCUGGAGAGCGGCGCGCGCUUUGUGCUUGUGGGAGAGAGAGCGCGCGCCUUACCCACACCCCUAUAGAUUCUCUGAGGGAUAGGCUCUCCCUAGUUGCACUUUGUCGUGAUUGUUCUCCAUAACAAUGUCUGCAUUCAGUCAAACUGCCGCAUUCUCCUAUAGAAGGUUUUGAGGUAGAUUUAAUGGCCAUUCCCGAGUCUGAAAUUAAGGCCACUGGGAGCAGCUACAAAGGAGGAACAUAUUGCUGGAGAGAUAAUGGCAGACUUUGAUUUAAUUUAGCUUGCCAUAGACACACGGGAGAUAGUCGCCCGACGACAAAGCACCUCUUCUUGUGACUAAUCUUAAUUCUAAAUCGCCAGCGGGACGGCACUCGAACAAUUCGUUUUUCCGAAUUGCCUCACGAGGGAACUUCGGGCGACUUCAGAAAACGUAGGGAUCAGCGUGCCGUCCCGCCAGCGUUGCAUAUUCUAGCCGACGGGAAGCUAGUUCGGGGAGAUUAGUCGCCCGAAAAAAAGGCGAUUUGUGGCACUGUCUCUGCCGUUACUGAUUUGACUUUGAUGAAGAAGAGCGAGGGCUAUGACUACUGUAAAAAAAAAAAAAAAUGAAGGUCAUCUGACCUAAAUAGGAUCUGUGCAAUUAACUUUAGGCCCAUAAUAUGUUUAAUUCGUAUCCUUACCUCAGGUUUGGUAACCGUAGCAAACCCAACAGCUCGGGCACAAAGAUGACUCCUAUGUCAUUGCGUAUUUAUAGUAAACUUAAAAUGAGCAGUGGAGAAUGGGGUAGAUAGAUGUGCCCAGUAGAAAUAAUAAAUGGUUAAUUCACGAAAGACAGGUGGCUUCUGUAUCCUAGUAUAUGAGCAUCUCCUCUUUAGGGCUUGACAGCUGUUAUAACAAAUGUUUCAUAUAUUCUCAUGCCACAAAGGAAUUUCCAUACUACUUUGAGACCCUAGCAGCUAACUGAUUUUUUUCAUAUGUAUAUAUUUUUUUUUCAUGUAUGGACUGCCUGAAGGCAUGUGCAGUUCAUAAUGCGAGAGGCUAGACGGCAGCUGCUGGGUGUGGAAAUCGAUUGCUGGGGUGGGGGAGGAUUUUGCAACAUAAUCAGGAUUUAGCUGAAAGCCUUGUGCAGAUGUUUCUCUUUCAUGGUGUACGGCCGACAGCGCAAGGAUCGUGUGGGUGUGGAAACGGCUUGUAGGCUUUUGCCUGCUAACGUGGAAGUAGUGUCAGCUGAUGGAUAAUGGGUGUGUAAGCUGCCAUUGUUGUCUUGUGUUAUGUGAAAUCUGGCA
Xenopus laevis (African clawed frog) is the source of this 1493-nucleotide long non-coding RNA. RefSeq lists it as uncharacterized. The transcript is spliced from 2 exons. NCBI's taxonomy places the organism in Eukaryota, Metazoa, Chordata, Amphibia, Anura, Pipidae. The record is from RefSeq and is a predicted model, not a curated record.